CCUACGAGUGGCAGCAGUGGGGAAUUUUGCGCAAUGCUCGUAAGAGUGACGCAGCGACGCCGCGUGAAUGACGAAGGCCUUCGGGUCGUAAAGUUCUUUCGACAGGGAAGAAAAUGCCUAUGAGUAACUGUGUAUGUAUUGACGGUACCUGUAUAAGCAGCCCCGGCUAACUCCGUGCCAGCAGCCGCGUUAAUACGGAGGGGGCGAGCGUUGUUCGGAGGGACUGGGCGUAAAGAGCACGUAGGCGGUGUUGUAAGUCAUUAGUCAAAGACUAGAGCUCAACUUUAGUAAGGCUAGUGAUACUAUAAUACUAGAGUAUCAGAGAGGAUUGCAGAAUUCCUGGUGUAGCGGUGAAAUGCGUAGAUAUCAGGAGGAAUACCGUUAGCGAAGGCGGCAAUCUGGCUGGAAACUGACGCUGAGGUGCGAAAGCGUGGGUAGCAAACAGGAUUAGAUACCCCAGUAGUC
Molecule: ribosomal RNA, 465 nt
Filed under: uncultured bacterium
Lineage: Bacteria
Description: partial 16S ribosomal RNA
Rfam family: Bacterial small subunit ribosomal RNA
Source: RNAcentral